RNAcentral lists this ribosomal RNA (252 nucleotides) under uncultured bacterium. Its description in RNAcentral is "partial 16S ribosomal RNA". It matches the Rfam family "Bacterial small subunit ribosomal RNA", at positions 524 to 776 of the family's 1533-position model. The record is from RNAcentral.
UACGUAGGGUGCGAGCGUUAAUCGGAAUUACUGGGCGUAAAGCGUGCGCAGGCGGUUUGUUAAGACAGAUGUGAAAUCCCCGGGCUUAACCUGGGAACUGCAUUCGAGACUGCAUUGCUAGAGUAUGGGAGAGGGAAGUGGAAUUUCAGGUGUAGCGGUGAAAUGCGUAGAUAUCUGAAGGAACAUCAGUGGCGAAAGCGACUCCUGGACCAAUACUGACGCUCAUGUGCGAAAGCGUGGGGAGCAAACAGG